AUGGGAAUAAUCAGGGAGCAGAUAUGAAUGUGAAGGGAAAAGACCUUGUUUAUACAUAAAUACUCUAGCAAUUGCUAGGAAGAAAAAUGGAGAGGAAAAAAUCAACGCAAAGCUCCUUGGCAUGUGGAUUCAGCUACAAAGAAUUGUGAGGCUGGUUGUAAUCUCAGUUCUUUCCAUUUCCAAAUGGAUUUGGCAGUAUUUCUACCAUUCUCUUGGAAGACUAGAAUGCCUGGAAUAUUCGGGAUAUUAGGGUGGAGAGAGGCAUUGCAUAGACAGAUCUCUACAUGGCAGGAACUCUCUAAGAACCUCAAGAAAGUAAAUGAAUCAACAACAACACACUUUACACCCAUACAUACAUACAUAUAGCAUGCUUGGAAAAUAGGUGGUGCCAGGUAAUCAAAAAUUCCAGUUAAUGAAAACCUGCAAGGAUUUUUUUUUUAAUAACAGACUGAAUAAAUUUCCCCUGGAAGUUC
Tachyglossus aculeatus (Australian echidna) is the source of this 473-nucleotide long non-coding RNA. RefSeq lists it as uncharacterized. Lineage: Eukaryota; Metazoa; Chordata; Mammalia; Monotremata; Tachyglossidae. The transcript has 2 exons. The record is from RefSeq and is a predicted model, not a curated record.